AGAGUUUGAUCCUGGCUCAGAGUGAACGCUGGCGGUGCGCCUAAAACAUGCAAGUCGAAUGGGUUUAGACCCAUGGCGAACGGCUGCGUAACACGUGGGUACCUACCCCGAACUCAGGGAUAACCCUCCGAAAGGAGGGCUAAUACCGGAUGCCCUCGCAAGAGGAAAGAUUUUUCGGUUCGGGAGGGGCCUGCGGCCUAUCAGUUAGUUGGUGAGGUAAUGGCUCACCAAGACGAUGACGGGUAGCUGGUCUGAGAGGACGACCAGCCAGAAUGGAACUGAGACACGGUCCAUACUCCUACGGGAGGCAGCAGUUAGGAAUCUUCCGCAAUGGGCGAAAGCCUGACGGAGCGACACCGCGUGAAGGAUGAAGCCCUUUUUGGGUGUAAACUUCUGUUGUGAGGGACGAAAUUUUUGACGGUACCUCACGAGAAAGCACCGGCUAAUUCUGUGCCAGCAGCCGCGGUAAU
RNAcentral lists this ribosomal RNA (470 nucleotides) under uncultured soil bacterium. RNAcentral's name for it is "bacterial SSU rRNA". It matches the Rfam family "Bacterial small subunit ribosomal RNA", at positions 8 to 524 of the family's 1533-position model. The record is from RNAcentral.